RNAcentral lists this ribosomal RNA (476 nucleotides) under uncultured bacterium. RNAcentral describes it as "bacterial SSU rRNA". It matches the Rfam family "Bacterial small subunit ribosomal RNA", at positions 28 to 507 of the family's 1533-position model. The record is from RNAcentral.
GAUGAACGCUGGCGGCGUGCCUCAAACAUGCAAGUCGAGCGGGGCUAUGUAAUAUCGCAAGGUAGAACAUAGCCUAGCGGCGAACGGGUGAGUAACACGUGGGUAACCUGCCUGGAAGACAGGGAUAACGAUUCGAAAGGGUCGCUAAUACCUGAUAAUAUCCUUUCAUCGCAUGGUGAUAGGAAGAAAGGGGAAACCCGCUUUCAGAUGGGCCCGCGUCCCAUCAGCUGUUAAGGUAAGGUAAAGGCUUACCAAGGCGACGACGGGUAGCCGGUCUGAGAGGAUGUACGGCCACACUGGGACUGAGAUACGGCCCAGACUCCUACGGGAGGCAGCAGUUGGGAAUCUUAGGCAAUGGACGAAAGUCUGACCUAGCGACGCCGCGUGAGGGAAGAAGGCCUUCGGGUUGUAAACCUCUGUCAUGGGGGAAGAAGUAAGUGACGGUACCCCAAGAGGAAGCCCCUGCUAACUACGUG